Molecule: ribosomal RNA, 444 nt
Filed under: uncultured bacterium
Lineage: Bacteria
Description: partial 16S ribosomal RNA
Rfam family: Bacterial small subunit ribosomal RNA
Source: RNAcentral
GUAGGGAAUAUUGGGCAAUGGUCGGAAGACUGACCCAGCCAUGCCGCGUGCAGGAAGACGGCCCUCUGGGUUGUAAACUGCUUUUAUCUGGGAAGAAAAAGGCCAUGCGUGGCAAAUUGCCGGUACCAGAUGAAUAAGCACCGGCUAACUCCGUGCCAGCAGCCGCGGUAAUACGGAGGGUGCGAGCGUUGUCCGGAUUUAUUGGGUUUAAAGGGUGCGUAGGCGGCUAAUUAAGUCAGCGGUGAAAGACUUCGGCUUAACCGGAGCAGUGCCGUUGAUACUGGUUGGCUUGAGUGUCGGAGGGGUACAUGGAAUUGAUGGUGUAGCGGUGAAAUGCAUAGAUACCAUCAGGAACACCGAUAGCGAAGGCAUUGUACUGGCCGACAACUGACGCUGAUGCACGAAAGCAUGGGGAGCAAACAGGAUUAGAUACCCGUGUAGUCC